UACAGAGGUCCCAAGCGUUGUUCGGAUUCACUGGGCGUAAAGGGUGCGUAGGUGGUGAGGUAAGUCGGAUGUGAAAGCUCGGAGCUCAACUCCGAAAUGGCAUUGGAAACUACCUUGCUCGAGGGUUGGAGGGGGGACUGGAAUGCUUGGUGUAGCAGUGAAAUGCGUAGAUAUUCGGAAGAACACCAGUGGCGAAGGCGACUCACUGGACACGUAUUGACGCUGAGGUGCGAAAGCGUGGGGAGCAAACAGG
Molecule: ribosomal RNA, 253 nt
Filed under: uncultured bacterium
Lineage: Bacteria
Description: partial 16S ribosomal RNA
Rfam family: Bacterial small subunit ribosomal RNA
Source: RNAcentral